Molecule: small RNA, 530 nt
Filed under: Pongo abelii (Sumatran orangutan)
Lineage: Eukaryota; Metazoa; Chordata; Mammalia; Primates; Hominidae
Description: processed transcript
Source: RNAcentral
GGCGUUGGUGGUUUGUUUCUGCGACUUGCGUCGGGACUGGUGAGUGUGGGCAGUGCGGCCCCUGCGGAGUGAGGCGCGGCGCGCCCUUCUUGCCUGUUGCCUCUUCCUCCUCCUGUCCGGGGCCCGCCCGCGCUUGGGUGGGGGUGCUGUGAUGCGUGAGGCAGCCGGGGGAGGCCCAGAGUCCGAGACUGCUUGAGCGCUGCGCACACCCUUCUCGUGGGCCCCCCACGUAGGUGCGGGGACCUGGUUGAACCCCAAGCUGAUAGGAAGAUGUCUUCAGGAAAUGCUAAAAUUGGGCACCCUGCCCCCAACUUCAAAGCCACAGCCGUUAUGCCAGAUGGUCAGUUUAAAGAUAUCAGCCUGUCUGACUACAAAGGAAAAUAUGUUGUGUUCUUCUUUUACCCUCUUGACUUCACCUUUGUGUGCCCCACGGAGAUCAUUGCUUUCAGUGAUAGGGCAGAAGAAUUUAAGAAACUCAACUGCCAAGUGAUUGGUGCUUCUGUGGAUUCUCACUUCUGUCAUCUAGCAUG